CGUGGGCUAUCUACUAUUGCCUCCCUUACGGCCUGGUCCAUCUGGCGUCAUCGCAAUGUGGUCAUCUUCGACAAAAUUACGCCCUCCUCCGCCUCCCUCCUGAUGACGAUCAAGGACGACGCCCGCUCCUGGGCCUUUGCAGGAGUCGAAGGGCUCAACAGCAUUAUCCCUGUAAUGUACCCUAGGUUGUCUGGGUUGAACAACCCAUCUCAUUCUCUCUUUGUAUCGUGUGCACACCUUGUAGUGUACGUGACCAUGAUGCCACUCUGUAUGUUCUAA
Molecule: ribosomal RNA, 279 nt
Filed under: Triticum aestivum (bread wheat)
Lineage: Eukaryota; Viridiplantae; Streptophyta; Magnoliopsida; Poales; Poaceae
Description: partial small subunit ribosomal RNA
Source: RNAcentral